UUGAGAGGAAGUUGGAUGAGUAUUUUGGGGAUGGGGAUGACCAAUUGGAUGAAAAUUCAAAGUUCUUGAAGGAGUAUUUUAAGAAUAAACUGUGGCGCAGUGAAGAUGCAAAGGUUGGGGAGGAGGAGUUGAACAUGCUGUCAGAGGAUGAGGAAGAGAUUGAAAAACAAGAGGAAUAUGAAUACAGGUUCCAAGAAAAUGUAGGAGAUACCAUUUGGGGGCAUAAUAGAACUGUUGAGGGGUCAGUUAGGAAAAA
RNAcentral lists this unclassified non-coding RNA (256 nucleotides) under Hevea brasiliensis (rubber tree). The record is from RNAcentral. Lineage: Eukaryota; Viridiplantae; Streptophyta; Magnoliopsida; Malpighiales; Euphorbiaceae.